Molecule: long non-coding RNA, 230 nt
Filed under: Capsicum annuum
Lineage: Eukaryota; Viridiplantae; Streptophyta; Magnoliopsida; Solanales; Solanaceae
Description: long non-coding RNA (CANN_LNC017272)
Source: RNAcentral
UACCUCUUUCUGAAAUGACAUACAAUGGAACUCCAUGCAACUUAACAAAUUCCCUAAGGUAAAGCCUUGCAUAAUUCCCAGCGAGUACAAAGCAUGAACUGGAAAAAAUGAAUUGAUUUGGUCAUUCUUUCUAUAAUGACCCAUAUCGAAUUAUGCUAGUGACGCAUAUAAGGCAACCCAUCACAAAAUCUAUGUUCACAACUUCCCAGUUCCAAGUGGGAAUUCUGAAC